UCUUAAAAGACAUCAUUUGUGGCCUUCUUGGGACACUGAGGAGGUCUUAAUUCCUUUGCUUAUCAAUCAUAUGUCUCAGGACCCUUUCAGACAUUGAGGGUGUGUGUGACACCCUUGUUCUGAAGUGAACAUCUGGUGCUACAUCGUGGAGACAGAGAACAUCUGAGAACUUAUUUACACGUGGUACCAGAUCAGAAGCCCAAUUUUGAUGAUUGGCAGUGUGAGACACUUCUUGGAAGAAUAGAAAACAUCUGGUGCCACAUCGUGGAGAUAGAGAACAUCUGAGAACUCAUUUACAG
Mastomys coucha (southern multimammate mouse) is the source of this 299-nucleotide long non-coding RNA. RefSeq lists it as uncharacterized. The record is from RefSeq and is a predicted model, not a curated record. Lineage: Eukaryota; Metazoa; Chordata; Mammalia; Rodentia; Muridae. The transcript has 3 exons.